Molecule: RNA transcript, 880 nt
Organism: Hyaena hyaena (striped hyena)
Lineage: Eukaryota; Metazoa; Chordata; Mammalia; Carnivora; Hyaenidae
Gene: TMEM265
Gene name: transmembrane protein 265
Exons: 2
Source: RefSeq, a predicted model, not a curated record
GCUGGCUCCGCCUCCGCUACCUGGCAGCUACUAGCAUUAUCUGUGGCUGCUCUUGCCUGGGAGUCGUGGCCCUUGUGUUUGCCAUCAAGUGGAGAUCUGCUCUCAAGGCCUACAUGGAAGAUGGAUUGGAAGGGGCAGGACUCGAGGCAGUUGAGCAGCGAUUAGAGUGAUCUGUAGCAGUCGGGAAGAAGCUGUGGAGUCUUUGAGAGGCCUUCACCAUUUCCAAACACCUAACCAAAACUGCACGUGUACCUUUUGAAAGACCACACGGGCCAACUUAAACAUCAUGCUGGAAUUUUUCUCAAUCCUAGUUGUAUUUUAACAAUCAGAAACUAUUCUUAUCAUCAUGAGAAUUUCUGGGCUUCAUUAGGUCAAAAUCAGAAUCCUUAAUAACGAGAGAGAUGAGGCCCAUUGGGCUAAUGAGAAUGGAGUGCUGUUUGACUGGACGGGAGGCUGAAUACUCCAAGGUAGUUCACUGUGUCUUGCCAAGGGUUCCAAAUUCUGAAUGAACCUGGAAUGAAUGGAAUAAGAUUAGGAACAAAAGGAGUGAAAAGUACUUUCCCAUAUGUGAUCUUGUGAGCUAACAAUGGCUACACAGAGCAGAAAGCUACACAGAGCAGAGUGGGCACCUUACUUUGCAGAUGAGGCAUGAGAGACAGACAUUGGAAAGGGAGGUGGGGGGUUUGGACGUCAGGUUUUGAGCCGUGACAAGGACGGAGGAUUGGUGUGGGGCAGUGGGCACUUUGGGCAGAAGCAGGAGGAGAACCUAACCAAAAACCUGCCCCCACAGGCGGAAGAGCGGCAUAAGGCAGGCCGGUUCGAGGAGGCAGUGCACUGGGGGGCCCGGGCCCGGAACUUCAUCCUGGCCAGCUUUGCCGUC